GUCUGCGACCAUGCCACCCUGAACACGCCCGAUCUCAUCUGAUCUCGGAAGCUAAGCUUAGUACUUGGAUGGGAGACCACCUAGGAAGACCAAGUGCUGUAGGUG
This 105-nucleotide ribosomal RNA is filed under the name Pteropus alecto (black flying fox). Lineage: Eukaryota; Metazoa; Chordata; Mammalia; Chiroptera; Pteropodidae. The record is from RNAcentral.